AGUGCAGUCCCUGUCAGAGGGUGUUCCAGAAGGAUCCGGACAGCGAAAGGUAAAAACAUACCACAUUAGGGCAGAAAAAAGCCAAGAUAAGUGAUGGGGUAUCUACAUGUGCUUCCUCAAGCCCUAUAAGAAGAGGUUCUUCACCCUCGUGGGAAAGGAUCGUGACUGCUGCUGUGAUGAUGUUGACACCUCCAUGUCUCAGCAAUUAACUCCUGCAGGCAUCAGUGCCCUCUGUGUAGUUUCUGACAUGAAGAGACCAGCUGUUCAAGAUAUCACUCCUCCACCUCUGAGAAAUAAGCCACAGCUCCCUGGGUAAGGUACACACAGCAUGUCUCAGCCUCUGGGAUCUCCGGACUGAAACUCUAAGAUUAACAGGCUUCACAUUCUCUCUCUACUCCAGCUGAGGACACUAUGUGGUGGGAAGAAAGAGAGGAAGAAGAAGACUUUCUGAAGGCACAUUGAUGGAAUGGGUGUCAUUUCCUUGUAAAUAUAUUUUCACGUUUGUAAAAUAAAAUAAAUAACUAUGGGUACUGGAGAUCUGAAACAAAAACAGAAGUUGUAGAGAAACACAUCAGAUCUGGCAGCAGUUUGGGAAUGAGGCAGAGUUAAUGUUUUGAGUCAAUUCUGAUGAAGAAUUGUUAGCUCUGCUUUCUUCACAUUUGUAAAUAAAUGUUCAUUUUUCUUCAUCAGCUUUGCGAAUGAAAGUUAUUUAAAGUGCAGCUACAAGAAUGAAGGUACGGAAGCUAGUCAUCCUGAGUACCACAUAAUGUUGAAACUCAGUUUGAGUGACAGUUCUCAUUUCUGUAGUGUCCAUGCUAGCCUGGAACUUUGUCGGGAUUGAAUGACAGACCAUCAGAUGUUUUGAAGACUUCCAUCCAUUUGUAACCUUAACUUUAAUUGAAUGGCAUGAACUGCAUAGAACAAACAAAUUCAAGCAGUGUCCUCUGGAUGGUAACAGUACAAAGUCCUAGACAUGACUUGCAUGGAAACCUGAUAUUUAAGGGCGAUUCUGUGUCUUUCAUUGGCCCCAGUGGAAGGAGAUAUCACAUUGCAGAUACACUGGACAACAUGACAUGGGUUUCUGAAUUCCAACUCUGGACAAUGUAUAAUGCCACUGCCCCUUUCUCAUCUACAUGGCAUUCUGUGGAAGAUAAGGGACUGUGGCUGCUCUGCGUCAUCACUGUAAGACUAGGACACCUAUGACAGCAAACUCUGCUGUAGCGAAUUACUCCACAUCUACUGGAGAUUUAAUAUUGCACCUGGAUUUCCAGUCCUUGUUCAUAUGUGUAGCAGCCCUUAGAGUAGUGACCAUGUGGACAACCACAGCUUAUGUGCCUGAUUCAUUUGGGCCAGUUCCAAUGAGCAUCUGUAACCAAUGCCAGAAAUAAAGGAACUGUUCAAUAAUGUAAGAUUUAAAAUAACAUCCUCCACCAACUGAGACUUGGAGGGUCCCAACAAGCAGGCCAGUGGAGUGCCAGUACGUGAAUGUUGAACAUCAUUGUUUUAAUUCUGACAUCUGUUGAUCAAACCUUUAUGUACACAUACAGUAGGAGGUUGUACGUCUGGCAGAAAUUGCCACAGUUCCCCCUGGAGGCUUCCUGCCUCUAUUCCUGAUGAAGGGCUUUAGCUCGAAAAAUUGAUUUUCCUGCUCCUCAGAUGCUGCCUGAUCUGCUGUGCUUUUCCAGCACUGCUCUGAUCUCAACUCUGGUUUCCAGCAUUUGCAGU
Hemiscyllium ocellatum (epaulette shark) is the source of this 1725-nucleotide long non-coding RNA. RefSeq lists it as uncharacterized. The record is from RefSeq and is a predicted model, not a curated record. Lineage: Eukaryota; Metazoa; Chordata; Chondrichthyes; Orectolobiformes; Hemiscylliidae. The transcript has 3 exons.